This 237-nucleotide ribosomal RNA is filed under the name uncultured bacterium. RNAcentral's name for it is "partial 16S ribosomal RNA". It matches the Rfam family "Bacterial small subunit ribosomal RNA", at positions 28 to 261 of the family's 1533-position model. The record is from RNAcentral.
GAUGAACGCUAGCGGCAGGCCUAAUACAUGCAAGCUGAACGGCAAGAUUUGUAGCAAUACGAGUCCUAGAGUAGCGUAAGGGUGCGUAGCACGUAUGCAAUCUGCCCGCAACAGGAGGAUAGCUUAGCGAAAGUUGAGAUAAGACUCCAUAAGAUCACGAGAGGGCAUCUGAUUGUGAUUAAACUACAAGGGGGUUGCGGAUGAGCAUGCGUCUGAUUAGUUAGUUGGCGGGGUAAC